This 459-nucleotide ribosomal RNA is filed under the name uncultured bacterium. RNAcentral's name for it is "partial 16S ribosomal RNA". It matches the Rfam family "Bacterial small subunit ribosomal RNA", at positions 338 to 795 of the family's 1533-position model. The record is from RNAcentral.
CCUACGAGAGGCAGCCGUGAGGAAUAUUGGUCAAUGGUCGGGCGACUGAACCAGCCAAGCCGCGUGAGGGAUGAAGGUACAGAGUAUCGUAAACCUCUUUUGUCAGGGAACAACGGCGGGGACGUGUCCCCGGAUGCGUGUACCUGAAGAAAAAGCAUCGGCUAACUCCGUGCCAGCAGCCGCGGUAAUACGGAGGCUGCGAGCGUUAUCCGGAUUUAUUGGGUUUAAGGGGUGCGUAGGCGGUCCGUUACGUCAGCGGUAAAAGCACGGGGCUAAACCCCGUACCGCCGUUGAAACUGGCAGGCUCGAGUUGGAGAGAAGUAUGCGGAAUGAGCGGUGUAGCGGUGAAAUGCAUAGAUAUCACGCAGAACUCCGAUUGCGAAGGCAGCAUACCGGCGCUCAACUGACGCUGAGGCACGAAAGCGUGGGGAUCGAACAGGAUUAGAUACCCGUGUAGUC